GAGGGUAUAGCUCUGUGGUAGAGUGCUAUGCUUACCAUGCACAAGGUCCUGGGUUCAGUCCCCAGUGCCUCCA
RNAcentral lists this transfer RNA (73 nucleotides) under Camelus bactrianus (Bactrian camel). It matches the Rfam family "tRNA". Rfam says of the family: Transfer RNA (tRNA) molecules are approximately 80 nucleotides in length. Their secondary structure includes four short double-helical elements and three loops (D, anti-codon, and T loops). Further hydrogen bonds mediate the characteristic L-shaped molecular structure. tRNAs have two regions of fundamental functional importance: the anti-codon, which is responsible for specific mRNA codon recognition, and the 3' end, to which the tRNAs corresponding amino acid is attached (by aminoacyl-tRNA synthetases). tRNAs cope with the degeneracy of the genetic code in two manners: having more than one tRNA (with a specific anti-codon) for a particular amino acid; and 'wobble' base-pairing, i.e. permitting non-standard base-pairing at the 3rd anti-codon position. RNAcentral also lists the same sequence under 2 other names. The record is from Rfam by way of RNAcentral. Lineage: Eukaryota; Metazoa; Chordata; Mammalia; Artiodactyla; Camelidae.